AAUCCUUKUGKKGGUGGUAUUAACUUCGUKUGAUGUCUCGUGGAUUAGCCUCUAUGCSUGUCUUCARGGCGUUGGAGAUUGCUAUAUGGAAUGUGGCCCUUCCACCCUUGGCCUUUGGAGCUGCCACACGGCAUUCUCCUAUCUAAGGCUGUGGAAUGAGGGCCUCAUGAUAUUGUUGCAAAUGUGGCUCCUUCGAAAUCGGGUCUUGGUGUCGUGGCGCCUUUGCUCGAGUUGUGAUUUAUCCAAGAGGAUAGUGCCUUCAUCUUCAGUGCGACUUUGGUGCUUUCCCCUCCUGUCAUAUGAAAUGUAUGACUGUGGUGGGGUGAGAUCAUGGCUGCGUUGAGGACGUGCUACCUGGUUGAUCCUGCCAGUAGUCAUAUGCUUGUC
Molecule: unclassified non-coding RNA, 387 nt
Filed under: Maxillaria cf. suarezorum Arevalo 945
Lineage: Eukaryota; Viridiplantae; Streptophyta; Magnoliopsida; Asparagales; Orchidaceae
Description: partial external transcribed spacer
Source: RNAcentral